Loxodonta africana (African savanna elephant) is the source of this 3109-nucleotide long non-coding RNA. RefSeq lists it as uncharacterized. Lineage: Eukaryota; Metazoa; Chordata; Mammalia; Proboscidea; Elephantidae. The record is from RefSeq and is a predicted model, not a curated record. The transcript is spliced from 2 exons.
AGACGUGAUGACGUCAGGAAGAAAGGCGCCGAGUCGCCUCGGGCUUUGGCGCUGGGAAAGUGCGUCACGAGGUGAGCGUGUGGUAGGGGGCGGGGCUAAUGUGGGACUAUACCAUUAUUUUGGGUGACAGUAAAUCUCACAAGGAGAUGGAUUUGUAUUUUCUCCAUAUGUAAACCCAUUUCAUUUUGUUCUUUAAUACUAAUGCUUUUUGCAAACUUAUAAAAACAGUAAACCCCAAAGGCCCAAACUUCGCUCCACUCCGAGGAUAGUGAAGACUUCCGGCGGGGGGCGGGGAGGAGGAAGGGAACGCCCAGCCGCGUGCCGAAGAGCGCAGGCGCAGAGUGGUGGCGCGCGCUGGACGGCGCUGGGCCGGCGGCCGAAUUGUUGUCCCCGGAGGAGAUCGGCGCUUUAGGAGGCCAGGGAAGGCUUCCCGGAGGAUGCGGAGGAGGAAGAGGAUGGGCGGCUUUAGUGGUGACAAUGGUGGCACGAGCAAGUUCCUUCUUUUUUAUUAGUCCCGCAUCAUUGAGCGCCCACAGCGUCAUGUCCUAGUCUGAGCGCAGGGAGUUUGCGGUGAACUUGCCCUCUAGGCGUCAACAGGUGGGGUGUUAGACCUUGGCCAGAUCCUGCAAACAUGUAAAAACACUAACUGUAUUAAGGGAGCCGUGAGGGCCUCGCUAUGAGUCGAAAUUGACUCGACGGCAACGGGUUUGGAGGGCCUCAAAGAAGCCCUGGCAGCGCAGUGAUUAGAGCGCUUGGCUGCCAACCGACGGUCCGCCGUUGGAACCCUUCUCCGCGGGAGGAUGUGUCAGUCUGCUUCCAUAAAGAAAGAUAUACAGCCUUGGAAACCCUACGGGACAGUUCUAUUCUGUCCUGUAAGGUCUAAGGUCGCUUUGCGUCCAAAUCGACUAAGGAUGUGGGGUUUUUUGGUGUGGAGAGCCGGGAGCUGGCCAGGAAAGGCGCACCUCGAGCAAAGAUCUGAAGAGGAGUGCUAUUCAUUAGGCAAGAGCUGGGGAAGGACGUUCCAGGAGGAGGAAAAUCCUUGUGAAAAGAGCCAUGGCCACAUACGGGUUGUCCUGUCAUAGCCGUCAAAAUGAGGACCCGGACGUCUGUGAUCACAAACAGGCCACCGUUCUCCACGGGGGAGUCCUCUGUGCCAGCCCUGACAGGCUGUGGACUUGGGUGCGGUGCCACUGCAGCGUCUGAGAACAGAGGCAUUUGACCAUUUUGAUUUACAUUUAUGUGUGUUACACUCUUCAACAUGUCCAUGGUAGUAGGAGUUUUAAAAUACUAAAAUACAUGAAACUCUUGUUGCCUGUCACUGCAAAGUUAAAAAGUAGAGAGCAGGGUGAUUGAGAAUUCUACUCCUGGGGGUGUUGUACUUUGGUGCAAAAUUGGGUGAAUACACACUGUAGUUAGGGAUAAAAAUGAAGGGUUGAAAAUUGGGACAGGUCUUGGGAUUCUUGCUAGAAAACCAAAAGAGUAUCUGCCCAGAACUCUUCUCCCACUGUUGGAGGUCCAAGAAAGAGCAAGCUUUUUAAAAUCAGCUGCCACCAAGUUCAGUCCCUGGCUGUGCCUUGUCCAGCUGGGUGGCUUUGGUCAAGUUGCAUAAUCUCUCCGAUUGAGAGAGUCUUGUUUCUUAUCUAUAAAGCGAUGUUAGUAAUUUCCCGAAGUGCUGGGUUAGUAGGAUUGUAGACAAUGCAUAUGAAACUCAGAAUGUGCUCAGUACACAUAGCCAUGGUAUGAUCAAUUCAGUAACAUGGUUUUUCUUUGUUUUUAUUUUCUAUCUUGGUGAAAAUGUCGUGAUUUUACAGUCUUAGGGCAGAUGGAACCAUUAGGCGUUUCACAACCCACAGCUGAUUGUGUACUUUGUAUUUUCAUGUUUCCGACAGUUACUUUUUUUUUUAAUGCCUUUUAUGAAGGAUUUUGUCUUCCCCCUCAAAAAUCAAGAGGUGCUAUUAAAAUGGAAAUCAGGAUGUUUCUUUCAGAGUUCUCAGCACAUGUCAAAGGUUAACACUAGCUCUUCCUGACCCAGCUUUGAUCUCUGAUAGGUCAGUUCCAUGGUCUCCUAGCCUCACCCCCUGUAAUUCCUGGGGUGGGGGGAGCAGGGUACACAAAAAACGGAAGGGAAAUUGAGUGGGACUGAGUGAGGAUGAAAGGCAGUAAAAAUUACUGGCACACAUUGAUCCUCUAAGAAAAUCCUCCGUAUGUCCCCAAACCUAAAAGGCAAUAAGGCCACCAUGAAGUAGAUGAUGAGCCACAGCUUUGUGAAAAAGAAACUACUUCUCCACUGAAAUAAGGUACCAUGAUCCAUCCCACAUGUGUAGGGUGUCCUGAAUUCAUGAGAUCUUAAACAUGCUCAUGUUCUGUCCUGUGGGAUUACCUAUAGAAAUGACUAAUCUUGAAACAUGGAGUUCCAUAGCUGGCCAGGAAGUACUAGUCACCAAACCUGUACCUGCCUCCAGCUCUGUCCAAGCCCCAUGUUCCCCAUGGCCUUGGACCAGCCAGGCAUACAAGGGCAUGUGAAGUGGAGCACAGCAUGAACUUGGCAGUGAAGCUCAGGCCGUGAGCAUCCAGUUGAACAUUUCCUCUUCAAGACGCCAGUUUCCAACCACCUAGUUUGUUGUAGCCAGUUCUUGACUUGGCCCUCAUUAGUGAUUUGACAGUCAGAUGGCUUGGCAUAGGCAGAUGUUCUGUUCUGAAUGGCAGGUGACAAAGCUGACUUUGGCCAAAUAAAAAGGAGUGUGUUAAAAAGAUCAGAAGUUCUCUACAUCAUUGGGAAAGCUGGAGAAUCAGGCUUAAGACUACACCUCCAGGAAUGACACCACAGCACUGGUCUGAUGGGGAAAUUGCUGCUGUUGCUGCCCCUGAGUAGAUUGCUACAAUGUUCAUUGUUGCCACUUCUACACCAGGAACUCAGUUUGAACACAGGGCUCCAGCAACCAUUUUGUGAUAAUCAAGAAACCCUAAUAUUGGAAGCCAUUUGCCCAGGGUGGCAGAGCAGAAAAGCCUCAGUACCUGAUGACCAUGGACCUGUUAUACCUGCCCUGGACCACCUAACAUCACUCUUCUUAUGUGGUGGGGAAAAAAAAUAAACCUGUUUCUCCUUUAA